RNAcentral lists this ribosomal RNA (249 nucleotides) under uncultured bacterium. RNAcentral's name for it is "partial 16S ribosomal RNA". It matches the Rfam family "Bacterial small subunit ribosomal RNA", at positions 793 to 1055 of the family's 1533-position model. The record is from RNAcentral.
GUCCACGCCUAACGAUGAUCACUCGAUGUGUGCGAUACACUGUACGCGUCUGAGCGAAGCAUUAAGUGAUCCACCUGGGAGUACGACCGCAAGGUUGAACUCAAGGAAUUGACGGGCCCGCACAAGCGGAGGAGCAUGUGGUUAAUUCGAUGAUACGCGAGGAACCUUACCAGGGCUUGAAAGUUAGUGAAGGAUGUGGAAACAUGUCCGUCAGCAAUGACACGAAACUAGGUGCUGCAUGGCUGUCGU